This 200-nucleotide non-coding RNA is filed under the name uncultured Eubacteriales bacterium. Lineage: Bacteria; Bacillati; Bacillota; Clostridia; Eubacteriales. The record is from RNAcentral.
AGAAUCGCGAGGAUCGGAAAGAGUAAUAUCCUGACCAGAGGACAGAGAGGGCGCGUCACCGGCUGAAAGCGAGCCUGCUGUGGGGGAUAUGAAGGUGCAUCCGGGAGCGAGGGAAACAUGGAGUUUCCCCGGUUUGCCACCGUUAUUGGGUCUUUGAGUGAAAAAUAAGAGUGGAACCGCGAUUUUUGAUCGCCUCUUAU